CUGUGGGACUUGGAGACGUAUUCCAAUGACUGUUUUAACCAAUGGGGAGUGAAACCACGGCCUCAUUGGAUGACUACCAUGUAUGGUGGCAAAAACAUCAGUUCACACUCCAACAUCAUUUUCAGGCUGUUUCCAUUGCUCUUGGAUACCAUCCAGAACACGAUCAGAAGAUAGCACAACAUCAGCACAACUGAGUCAUAGAACCUGGCAAAACCAAGCUGUAUGGACCUGGAAACUCCAUCCCUGCUGGCUAGCUUUCAUUGUGCUUGAAGGUGUUGAACAAGCUACUAGAGAAAGAAACAAAUCAUUACCAGUCAUCAAUCAUACAUACCCAGCUAUGAAACCUGUGAGCUACAAUACUGGUCACUCAAGAUAUGCCCAAUGGUGCACUAGUGGCACAAACAUUAUGGCAGUUAUCAGCCACUUUCUCAUUGGAUUUAAGACCAGCUCCACAAGGUGAAACCCAUACCCAGCAUCAUUAUCAGUGGAGAACAUAGUGUAGACAUGCCAUAGACCCU
Molecule: long non-coding RNA, 518 nt
Filed under: Rattus norvegicus (Norway rat)
Lineage: Eukaryota; Metazoa; Chordata; Mammalia; Rodentia; Muridae
Description: long non-coding RNA NONRATT000958
Source: RNAcentral